UGGGGAAUAUUGGGCAAUGGGCGAAAGCCUGACCCAGCGACGCCGCGUGGGUGAUGAAGGCCUUCGGGUUGUAAAGCCCUUUCGUGCGGAACGAACAGUCUCGCGACUAAUACUCGCGGGAUUUGACGGUACCGCAGGAAGAAGCACCGGCUAACUCCGUGCCAGCAGCCGCGGUAAUACGGAGGGUGCAAGCGUUGUUCGGAAUUACUGGGCGUAAAGGGCGCGCAGGCGGUUGUGCAAGUCAGUUGUGAAAUCCCCCGGCUUAACCGGGAAACUGCAUCUGAAACUGCAUGACUAGAGUACAGAAGAGGGAAACGGAAUUCCCGGUGUAGAGGUGAAAUUCGUAGAUAUCGGGAGGAACACCAGUGGCGAAGGCGGUUUCCUGGUCUGAUACUGACGCUGAGGCGCGAAAGCGUGGGGAGCAAACAGG
RNAcentral lists this ribosomal RNA (430 nucleotides) under uncultured bacterium. RNAcentral's name for it is "bacterial SSU rRNA". It matches the Rfam family "Bacterial small subunit ribosomal RNA", at positions 355 to 776 of the family's 1533-position model. The record is from RNAcentral.